UCACGCCGAGAUCACUGCCACUAGUGGACCAUCGUCAAGCCCUCGUCACCACCGAAAUCUUCGCAAGUCACCUGCAAGAAAAGGAAACACAGCAGAUACGAAAAAAACAAAAAAAGGAAACUAAAAUAAAAGGAUUUCAGCAGAUCACAAUCAAAGAUAUGGUAGAUACAACAGACAAGAAAUGGAAAGAGAUCUUAGAUUUCUUUCCCAGUUUAUGUAAUAACAGUAGUGGCUAUAAAAGCCCGAAUCAAAACAGUGUAAAGGGACCCCUUCUUUUUUUUGGAAGAAAGAAAUAUACUCACAGACAUUCAUUCAAAAAAAAAUACCAACAGCCUCUCAAAAGGUGAUUUAAUCACAUAUCUCGUGCUUUAUUUUGAACAUAUAUGAACUGUUUUAUCAUAUACAAGUAAGGAUCUAAGGGAAAAGAGGUCACCUGUGGAAAGACGAAGGUUUUUAAGCCUUCAGACCACCGUGUACGAUGGCGCGUG
RNAcentral lists this long non-coding RNA (488 nucleotides) under Gossypium barbadense (sea-island cotton). RNAcentral describes it as "long non-coding RNA (GBAR_LNC006539)". Lineage: Eukaryota; Viridiplantae; Streptophyta; Magnoliopsida; Malvales; Malvaceae. The record is from RNAcentral.